GAUGAACGCUGGCGGCGUGCCUAACACAUGCAAGUCGAACGGAGAUUCCGGACGGAAGUUUUCGGAUGGAAGACUGUAAUUCUUAGUGGCGGACGGGUGAGUAACGCGUGGGCAACCUGCCCUAUACAGGGGGAUAGCAGCUGGAAACGGCUGGUAAGACCGCAUAAGUCGGCGAGACCGCAUGGUUUUGCCGGGAAAUGAGCAAUCAGGUAUAGGAUGGGCCCGCGUCCGAUUAGCCAGUUGGCAGGGUAAAAGCCUACCAAAGCAACGAUCGGUAGCCGGACUGAGAGGUCGGACGGACACAGUGGGACUGAGACACGGCCCAAACUCCUACGGGAGGCAGCAGUGGGGGAUAGUGCACAAUGGAGGAAACUCUGAUGCAGCGACGCCGCGUGAGUGAAGAAGUAUGUCGGUAUGUAAAGCUCUAUCAGCAGGGAAGAUGAUGACGGUACCUGACGAAGAAGCCCCGGCUAACUACGUG
This 481-nucleotide ribosomal RNA is filed under the name uncultured bacterium. Its description in RNAcentral is "partial 16S ribosomal RNA". It matches the Rfam family "Bacterial small subunit ribosomal RNA", at positions 28 to 507 of the family's 1533-position model. The record is from RNAcentral.